GAAGGGAUGAAGGUCCAUCUUCUAUAACUUCUUUAAGCUGAAUCCAGGUGUUGAUAUGGGACCCAUUAGAGCAGUGAAAUCUUUCCUAGCUAGUCUUGGGUAGGUCUAGUUAUCUCCUGGGUAUAAGCCUAGCUGUUCAUAUUGCUAUAUGGCCUCAACUUGCUUAGACACAAAAGAAACAAGGCAGUUUAAGAAACGGGGCCCAAAGAUCAAGAGAAGUAGGAUAUCAGCUAAAGUGCCCAGGAAGGCACAACAGGAAGUGUUGGUGACUACACACACCCUACCUUGUUCUGCCAAGAGGUCAUCAAGAGCCGGAUGGUUAUAACGCACGAUAUUGGCUGGGGUAGACUCUGGAUGAAACAAGGUGACUCCAAGAGCAAAGCUUAGAAUACCUGAAUACCUGCAAGCAAGACAAGUAGAUUAAGUCCUGACAGAAAAGUAUACGCGGGCCCAAGGUUUUUAACAAAACCCAGUCCUGGGUUGUAAAAGAUGAAGGGCCAAAUGAGAUGAUGAAGGUAAUCCUUGAAUUCUGUAUUCCUGAAAGGGCUAUUUUUAGCCUCUGUGGACAGCUCCAUAGGGAGAAUGAACUAUUCGUCAACGUCACCCAUAUUUUACUGAAGAUUUUGAAGGUAUUCCAAUGUGACUGACUACUACGUUUCCUCACAUGUGUGCUGCUGUAUCUGAGAUCACCAUGUUUUCAAUUAUCUCAUAUGAACCGGUUUCUGUUCAGAAAAAAUCCUUCGGCCAAGGAUUGGAGGAGGCUUGCCCUGAGGACUGAGCUGCUUGUAGGAGAUGAACAGAAGUUUUGAAAACACAACAGCAAGAUGGUGAGGAAAUUUAAAUCAAAGA
This 849-nucleotide long non-coding RNA is filed under the name Homo sapiens (human). RNAcentral describes it as "long non-coding RNA NONHSAT204495.1". Lineage: Eukaryota; Metazoa; Chordata; Mammalia; Primates; Hominidae. The record is from RNAcentral.